RNAcentral lists this ribosomal RNA (2925 nucleotides) under Escherichia coli. RNAcentral's name for it is "23S ribosomal RNA". It matches the Rfam family "Bacterial large subunit ribosomal RNA". The record is from RNAcentral. Lineage: Bacteria; Pseudomonadati; Pseudomonadota; Gammaproteobacteria; Enterobacterales; Enterobacteriaceae.
GGGUUGUGAGGUUAAGCGACUAAGCGUACACGGUGGAUGCCCUGGCAGUCAGAGGCGAUGAAGGACGUGCUAAUCUGCGAUAAGCGUCGGUAAGGUGAUAUGAACCGUUAUAACCGGCGAUUUCCGAAUGGGGAAACCCAGUGUGUUUCGACACACUAUCAUUAACUGAAUCCAUAGGUUAAUGAGGCGAACCGGGGGAACUGAAACAUCUAAGUACCCCGAGGAAAAGAAAUCAACCGAGAUUCCCCCAGUAGCGGCGAGCGAACGGGGAGCAGCCCAGAGCCUGAAUCAGUGUGUGUGUUAGUGGAAGCGUCUGGAAAGGCGCGCGAUACAGGGUGACAGCCCCGUACACAAAAAUGCACAUACUGUGAGCUCGAUGAGUAGGGCGGGACACGUGGUAUCCUGUCUGAAUAUGGGGGGACCAUCCUCCAAGGCUAAAUACUCCUGACUGACCGAUAGUGAACCAGUACCGUGAGGGAAAGGCGAAAAGAACCCCGGCGAGGGGAGUGAAAAAGAACCUGAAACCGUGUACGUACAAGCAGUGGGAGCCUCUUUAUGGGGUGACUGCGUACCUUUUGUAUAAUGGGUCAGCGACUUAUAUUCUGUAGCAAGGUUAACCGAAUAGGGGAGCCGAAGGGAAACCGAGUCUUAACUGGGCGUUAAGUUGCAGGGUAUAGACCCGAAACCCGGUGAUCUAGCCAUGGGCAGGUUGAAGGUUGGGUAACACUAACUGGAGGACCGAACCGACUAAUGUUGAAAAAUUAGCGGAUGACUUGUGGCUGGGGGUGAAAGGCCAAUCAAACCGGGAGAUAGCUGGUUCUCCCCGAAAGCUAUUUAGGUAGCGCCUCGUGAAUUCAUCUCCGGGGGUAGAGCACUGUUUCGGCAAGGGGGUCAUCCCGACUUACCAACCCGAUGCAAACUGCGAAUACCGGAGAAUGUUAUCACGGGAGACACACGGCGGGUGCUAACGUCCGUCGUGAAGAGGGAAACAACCCAGACCGCCAGCUAAGGUCCCAAAGUCAUGGUUAAGUGGGAAACGAUGUGGGAAGGCCCAGACAGCCAGGAUGUUGGCUUAGAAGCAGCCAUCAUUUAAAGAAAGCGUAAUAGCUCACUGGUCGAGUCGGCCUGCGCGGAAGAUGUAACGGGGCUAAACCAUGCACCGAAGCUGCGGCAGCGACACUAUGUGUUGUUGGGUAGGGGAGCGUUCUGUAAGCCUGUGAAGGUGUGCUGUGAGGUAUGCUGGAGGUAUCAGAAGUGCGAAUGCUGACAUAAGUAACGAUAAAGCGGGUGAAAAGCCCGCUCGCCGGAAGACCAAGGGUUCCUGUCCAACGUUAAUCGGGGCAGGGUGAGUCGACCCCUAAGGCGAGGCCGAAAGGCGUAGUCGAUGGGAAACAGGUUAAUAUUCCUGUACUUGGUGUUACUGCGAAGGGGGGACGGAGAAGGCUAUGUUGGCCGGGCGACGGUUGUCCCGGUUUAAGCGUGUAGGCUGGUUUUCCAGGCAAAUCCGGAAAAUCAAGGCUGAGGCGUGAUGACGAGGCACUACGGUGCUGAAGCAACAAAUGCCCUGCUUCCAGGAAAAGCCUCUAAGCAUCAGGUAACAUCAAAUCGUACCCCAAACCGACACAGGUGGUCAGGUAGAGAAUACCAAGGCGCUUGAGAGAACUCGGGUGAAGGAACUAGGCAAAAUGGUGCCGUAACUUCGGGAGAAGGCACGCUGAUAUGUAGGUGAAGUCCCUUGCGGAUGGAGCUGAAAUCAGUCGAAGAUACCAGCUGGCUGCAACUGUUUAUUAAAAACACAGCACUGUGCAAACACGAAAGUGGACGUAUACGGUGUGACGCCUGCCCGGUGCCGGAAGGUUAAUUGAUGGGGUUAGCGGUAACGCGAAGCUCUUGAUCGAAGCCCCGGUAAACGGCGGCCGUAACUAUAACGGUCCUAAGGUAGCGAAAUUCCUUGUCGGGUAAGUUCCGACCUGCACGAAUGGCGUAAUGAUGGCCAGGCUGUCUCCACCCGAGACUCAGUGAAAUUGAACUCGCUGUGAAGAUGCAGUGUACCCGCGGCAAGACGGAAAGACCCCGUGAACCUUUACUAUAGCUUGACACUGAACAUUGAGCCUUGAUGUGUAGGAUAGGUGGGAGGCUUUGAAGUGUGGACGCCAGUCUGCAUGGAGCCGACCUUGAAAUACCACCCUUUAAUGUUUGAUGUUCUAACGUUGGCCCCUAAUCGGGGUUGCGGACAGUGUCUGGUGGGUAGUUUGACUGGGGCGGUCUCCUCCUAAAGAGUAACGGAGGAGCACGAAGGUUGGCUAAUCCUGGUCGGACAUCAGGAGGUUAGUGCAAUGGCAUAAGCCAGCUUGACUGCGAGCGUGACGGCGCGAGCAGGUGCGAAAGCAGGUCAUAGUGAUCCGGUGGUUCUGAAUGGAAGGGCCAUCGCUCAACGGAUAAAAGGUACUCCGGGGAUAACAGGCUGAUACCGCCCAAGAGUUCAUAUCGACGGCGGUGUUUGGCACCUCGAUGUCGGCUCAUCACAUCCUGGGGCUGAAGUAGGUCCCAAGGGUAUGGCUGUUCGCCAUUUAAAGUGGUACGCGAGCUGGGUUUAGAACGUCGUGAGACAGUUCGGUCCCUAUCUGCCGUGGGCGCUGGAGAACUGAGGGGGGCUGCUCCUAGUACGAGAGGACCGGAGUGGACGCAUCACUGGUGUUCGGGUUGUCAUGCCAAUGGCACUGCCCGGUAGCUAAAUGCGGAAGAGAUAAGUGCUGAAAGCAUCUAAGCACGAAACUUGCCCCGAGAUGAGUUCUCCCUGACCCUUUAAGGGUCCUGAAGGAACGUUGAAGACGACGACGUUGAUAGGCCGGGUGUGUAAGCGCAGCGAUGCGUUGAGCUAACCGGUACUAAUGAACCGUGAGGCUUAACCUUACAACGCCGAAG